Molecule: long non-coding RNA, 428 nt
Filed under: Setaria viridis
Lineage: Eukaryota; Viridiplantae; Streptophyta; Magnoliopsida; Poales; Poaceae
Description: long non-coding RNA (SVIR_LNC007733)
Source: RNAcentral
GUUGCUCCUCCACCUCAGGCGCCUACAGUUGAUCAUCCAGUUGGGCCAAUCACUCGGGCCUGUGCGAGAGAAUUAAACUUCAUCAUGCUGUUAAGGAACGAAGGCCCAGCGGAAUAAGAAGAUGGCCCAACAGGGCAGCCCAGGUGGGGCGCCUAGGGUUGGGAGCCACGGCCCUCCCCCUGGUCGCGCGCGCCCCCCUCCUGCCGUGGCGCCUCCUCCAGACUCCAGGGGCUGCGCCCCCUUUAUCUAGUCGGAGUCCCUUUUGUUUACGACUUGAGUUUUGUUUUACAUCUAGCUUUAGCUACUCUCGAACAUGUGCAAAUACGCGCUGUCCUUGUGUGAUUCAAAACUCCACCUUCGAGUGAUAUUUAGAUUGCUCGCCUUUUUUUCUUGUUCGUUCUUCGAUUACGGACAGGAAUCGAUCUUCG